UACGUAGGGGGCGAGCGUUGUCCGGAUUUAUUGGGCGUAAAGAGCUCGUAGGCGGUUUGGAAAGUCGGGUGUGAAAACUCCGGGCUCAACUCGGAGACGCCACUCGAUACUGCCAUGACUAGAGUCCGGUAGGGGAGUGCGGAAUUCCUGGUGUAGCGGUGGAAUGCGCAGAUAUCAGGAGGAACACCGGUGGCGAAGGCGGGUCUCUGGGCCGUUACUGACGCUGAGGAGCGAAAGCGUGGGGAGCGAACAGG
RNAcentral lists this ribosomal RNA (254 nucleotides) under uncultured bacterium. RNAcentral's name for it is "partial 16S ribosomal RNA". It matches the Rfam family "Bacterial small subunit ribosomal RNA", at positions 524 to 776 of the family's 1533-position model. The record is from RNAcentral.